GUGGCCAUGGAGAAAAGGAUUAACUCGUCGACCUCCGGAGUCGAAGAUUGUGGGUUCGAGUCCCACUGGCCGCA
Molecule: transfer RNA, 74 nt
Filed under: compost metagenome
Description: tRNA-Arg
Rfam family: tRNA
About the family: Transfer RNA (tRNA) molecules are approximately 80 nucleotides in length.
Source: RNAcentral